Molecule: ribosomal RNA, 128 nt
Filed under: Salinivibrio sp. IB872
Lineage: Bacteria; Pseudomonadati; Pseudomonadota; Gammaproteobacteria; Vibrionales; Vibrionaceae
Description: partial 23S ribosomal RNA
Rfam family: Bacterial large subunit ribosomal RNA
Source: RNAcentral
CUAGAGCUUCGAGCUCUCUAAAGGGUUGUCGUAGACUACGACGUUGAUAGGCAGGGUGUGUAAGCGCUGUGAGGCGUUGAGCUAACCUGUACUAAUUGCCCGUGAGGCUUAACCAUACAACACCCAAG